This is a non-coding RNA of Nicotiana tabacum (common tobacco), 1350 nucleotides long. NCBI's taxonomy places the organism in Eukaryota, Viridiplantae, Streptophyta, Magnoliopsida, Solanales, Solanaceae. The record is from RefSeq and is a predicted model, not a curated record.
GUUGAUGCUGUGUUCAAAUACUUUGACCAUUCAAUCUAGUGCUGCUUCUUCCUUGCUCUUCCUCCCCCACCGACCCUUCCACUUUCUUUUCUCAUAAAAGCAAUUUAUUCAUUGCAAGCGUCUAAAAGCGCCCCAGGGCUUUGGUCUAGUGGUACAAAAGCUAGAUAUUUAAGCGGAGAAGGAUUGAGGGGCGGGCUCAUUAUCUACCGAGUUCCGAACUUUGCACCACUUGGCCCCCGGGGAUUUCUUGGCUAUCCUAAAAAAGCAAGGGCCUAAAAUCAUAAGGCACCCGGUAGAGGAUCUCUUAAUACAACCAGAAAUGGUUCGACCCUAUUUUGGAAAUGGAAGCAGUUAAUUCACUACCAAGAGUCAAUAUGGCUGCAUCCAUUUUAAUUCUGACACCUCUUUGAAUUCAGAACUCUCGAACCGUAACUCAUUUCUCACCUCCUGCAUUCCAAAUUUAUAUGCCUGGAACUUGUUUCUUCAGUUGCAUUUUUCUUGCUGGUGCUUUCGUGUGGUGUUCAUUUCUUUUUCUGCUCUGGCAUCAAGUAUUAAAUACUUAUGCUUCAUCUUAUUCAAUUAUAUUCUCACUUUUAUGGUUACUUUUGAGAAAUGCUCAUUAUGCUUGUCCCCCUAAAACUGUUUUUAGACUUGCACUUGAUACAGUUACUUAUCAAGAUGUAUUCUAUAGUCUCUGGUGGCCUUUUUCCUUUUUUGAUUUGAUACCAGAAUGCUAGUAUAGCUUAUCCAUGAAAUUGUCGUGAUAAAAAUUACUAAAAUUAAUAUUCUUUUUUUUUUGUGUGGCUAUUUUCAUGUUUUGAAAAGUUCCUGAUAAGCCUUUUCUGCCCCUUCUAAUACAGUUACAUGCCACUAUAAUGAAUGCGCGACACAGCAGAAGCAAAAAUAGAUCAGGAAAUGCUGAUUCCUUUGAUGCACGAGCAAUUUUUGCUCAGUAUGGCUCGGAAGAAUGGGGAGAGUGUCUUUUACGUGAAGCUCAUCUUUCACAAAGGUUUGUGUAUGGUGACAAUGGCUAUUACCAUUGCUGUGAAUCCAUCCCAUUUCCUGAAGGGAUGUAGCCAUGUAGGGUGUGUUUGGUAUGAAGAAAAACAUCUUCAAAAAAAUGUUUCCUAUGGGAAAAUGAGUGUGUUUCUCUCAUAUUUUCUUGUGUUUGGUAAGCAAGCAUGUGUCAUGUAUACUAGUUGGUGAAGACAUUAUAUAUGAUUUCUCGUUAAUCUGCUAUUUUAGUAACAAUUUUAGUUGUUACUAAAAUUCUAUUGUAUUGUAUUGUUAAAUUCGUUGGUAUGUAAUAACGAAAAGACCCAUUUUAUGUAACAGACUCAUUUGGUGUGA